RNAcentral lists this ribosomal RNA (509 nucleotides) under uncultured bacterium. RNAcentral describes it as "bacterial SSU rRNA". It matches the Rfam family "Bacterial small subunit ribosomal RNA", at positions 28 to 523 of the family's 1533-position model. The record is from RNAcentral.
GACGAACGCUGGCGGUGUGCUUAACACAUGCAAGUGGUGCGACGAACCAGAGCUUGCUCUGGGGCAAAGCCGCGAACGGUGAGUAACACGUGGGUAAUCUACCCCGAUGACCGGGACAACCCCGAGGAAACUCGGGCUAAUACCGGAUGUGGUACGGAGACAUAAGUCUCUUUACUAAAGGUAGCUUCGGCUUCCGCAAUUGGGAGGGGCCCGCGGCCCAUUAGCUAGUUGGUGGGGUCAAGGCCUACCAAGGCAACGAUGGGUAGCUGGUCUGAGAGGACGAUCAGCCACACUGGGACUGAGACACGGCCCAGACUCCUACGGGAGGCAGCAGUGGGGAAUCUUGCGCAAUGCGCGAAAGCGUGACGCAGCAACACCGCGUGAGGGAAGACGGCCUUAGGGUUGUAAACCUCUUUCAGAUGGGACGAAGGUGAUGCGUGAAUAGCCGAUGUCAUUGACGGUACCGUCAGAAGAAGCUCCGGCUAACUACGUGCCAGCAGCCGCGGAAU